CCAAUGCAUCGCUUGUCGCCCAACUCCCAACGACGUCGCCCUUCCUCACCGCUCUGCCCAGCGCCCCUCUGCCCAGCACUGAACUGCCCAGCGCCGCCGCUAAUCUAUCGAGCGCAUAGGUGCCCAGGGCCGUCGCUAAUUUGCCUGGAGCCCCUCUGCCCAGUGCCAUCCCUCGCAACCAGAUACGCCGAUCCGUCCCUCGCCAAGACCUCCGUCGUCGCCCCUCCUCCGUCCACCACCCCUCCCCUAGGAACUAGAUACGACGGAUUCGAAGGAAGGUGGUGACCGCCAGAUCUAAAGAGGUGACCUCAAGAGACUCCGCACAAACCUUCAGUCUAAGCUCCGUGAUGAGUACCAGCCAUAACCAACCUUUGGGCAGGUACACCCAUACUUCUAACAGGUGAGAGAUGCAGAGAACAGCAGGACGCUGGCAUUGUUGUCAUCACCUCCGGUGCUGUCAAGUACUUUACUGGAAGCCAAAAGGUGAGGGAGGAAGAAGGAAUAAGCACAAGCUGGAGGACUUGGACUGGAAGAGCACCGCUGGGUAUUUUUGUUGGGAAGAACAUUGCGAGGCCAAGGAGUUGGAAGGUUGCCUGUAUCUCCGAUCAGAGCGGUGAUCACCAGCAACAACAGCAAGUAGUCAAGAACAAUGCCAAUUGCAGCAUGGCUCCCUCCACCAGUGGCAAACAUGUUUUUCGGAGAUGGUGUUACGCCUUCUGGAUAAGAAUAGUCAGACCAAUAUAAAGAUGGAGAUUUCCUGAUAACAUUAUCAGGAAUUCUGCAUAUGUACCUCUUCAACCAAUCGUAGUUGUGCAUAUUUAGGCCUGAAACUUUCUCACUAAAACUUAUGUAAAUCUCUCUCUCUCUCUCUCUCUCUGAACGUCUCAUUCUGUACAUCUACUCAAGAAUCAUCUCCAGAUGUUCUUUGAACAUACAAUUAUAUGAAGUUAUUUUGUAUA
Molecule: long non-coding RNA, 959 nt
Organism: Phragmites australis (common reed)
Lineage: Eukaryota; Viridiplantae; Streptophyta; Magnoliopsida; Poales; Poaceae
Exons: 2
Source: RefSeq, a predicted model, not a curated record